AUUGAACGCUGGUGGCAUGCCUAACACAUGCAAGUCGAACGGCAGCACGGGAGCUUGCUCCUGGUGGCGAGUGGCGGACGGGUGAGUAAUGCAUAGGAAUCUGCCCAGUAGCGGGGGACAACUUGGGGAAACUCAAGCUAAUACCGCAUGCGCCCUACGGGGGAAAGCGGGGGACCUUCGGGCCUCGCACUAUUGGAUGAGCCUAUGUCAGAUUAGCUUGUUGGUGGGGUAACGGCCUACCAAGGCGACGAUCUGUAGCUGGUCUGAGAGGACGAUCAGCCACACUGGGACUGAGACACGGCCCAGACUCCUACGGGAGGCAGCAGUGGGGAAUAUUGCACAAUGGGCGAAAGCCUGAUGCAGCAAUGCCGCGUGUGUGAAGAAGGCCUGCGGGUUGUAAAGCACUUUCAGUAGGGAGGAAACAGUAGCCGGUUAAUAUCCGGUUGCCUUGACGUUACCUACAGAAGAAGCACCGGCUAACUCUGUG
This 487-nucleotide ribosomal RNA is filed under the name uncultured bacterium. Its description in RNAcentral is "bacterial SSU rRNA". It matches the Rfam family "Bacterial small subunit ribosomal RNA", at positions 30 to 507 of the family's 1533-position model. The record is from RNAcentral.